RNAcentral lists this ribosomal RNA (495 nucleotides) under uncultured bacterium. RNAcentral describes it as "partial 16S ribosomal RNA". It matches the Rfam family "Bacterial small subunit ribosomal RNA", at positions 28 to 507 of the family's 1533-position model. The record is from RNAcentral.
GACGAACGCUGGCGGCGUGCCUAAUACAUGCAAGUAGAACGCUGAAGGAGGAGCUUGCUUCUCUGGAUGAGUUGCGAACGGGUGAGUAACGCGUAGGUAACCUGCCUGGUAGCGGGGGAUAACUAUUGGAAACGAUAGCUAAUACCGCAUAAGAGUAGAUGUUGCAUGACAUUUACUUAAAAGGUGCAAUUGCAUCACUACCAGAUGGACCUGCGUUGUAUUAGCUAGUUGGUGAGGUAACGGCUCACCAAGGCAACGAUACAUAGCCGACCUGAGAGGGUGAUCGGCCACCCUGGGACUGAGACACGGCCCAGACUCCUACGGGAGGCAGCAGUAGGGAAUCUUCGGCAAUGGACGGAAGUCUGACCGAGCAACGCCGCGUGAGUGAAGAAGGUUUUCGGAUCGUAAAGCUCUGUUGUAAGAGAAGAACGAGUGUGAGAGUGGAAAGUUCACACUGUGACGGUAUCUUACCAGAAAGGGACGGCUAACUACGUG